GGACUCUCUGUUUCACAGCCCCCUGGGAAGUCCCUCACUGGCCACUCGGUGGGCCCCAGCUCUGCCCUCCCAGGUGAUCCCUACAGCUCCGUGGACUUCUCGGAGAUCAGCCCCUCGGCCUCCAGUGACUCUGGGGAGGGCACCUCGGUGAGGGUUCCCUCUGGUUCCCCUACGUCAUCCCAAGAUCGUGGGACCACGCUGCUCCCAGAACACGGUGGCCUGGGAUUCCCAGUAAGAGCCAGGCUGGUGGGAAUGGUGACCAUCUCCACUUCAGCCCAAGGAAGAGAACUUGUAGGCAGGGUCCUUCCCCCGUGAACGGCAGGAUUCAGGACAGGCUGGCGCGGCUGGCCUGUGAGAAGAGGCUGCAAGAAGGGGUGACCAAAGGCACACUUAAUGGGGACC
Molecule: long non-coding RNA, 402 nt
Filed under: Rattus norvegicus (Norway rat)
Lineage: Eukaryota; Metazoa; Chordata; Mammalia; Rodentia; Muridae
Description: long non-coding RNA NONRATT025577
Source: RNAcentral